ACGUGAGGAGAAAAGCUGCAGAGCAGCAUGUAAGACUGAAACUCUGCUUCCUCUGACAUAGUUUCAGAAAAUCUUGUAAAUGCGGUGCUGAUGUAGGAUUUUCCUCUCCCCUGUAUUCCCCUUUUCCUAAUGUUAUUCUCCAUGUUAUCAGUCCUCUUGUUCUGGCUCACUAUUUUUUUUUUAUCUUUCUCUCAUUGCUCUUUCUCUCCCUCUUAGUGAUGUGUCGGUCGCGAACGAAACAGCUCUUAGCGCUGGUUUUUUGAGGUGAACGACGGGAGCGUGUUUCACUUUUUUUUGCUUCACGCCACACGUGAGCCUUGUGCUUGCGCUGAGCAGAGGGGGGAGGGGCGCAAACACAGCCUUAUCUUUGCCGAGCAGAGGGGGGAGGGGCAGUGGUUACACUCAGUACACAGGAACUGAGCAGGAGGGAGAGGAAGAGAAAGAGAGCCAAGGGCAACAGCAAGAGACAACCUCAUCACAUUAGAAAGUGUAGAGUCUGCAAGAAAAGGAUACCAUAGAGCUCCACAAACAACCUGCACAGGCACCUGAGAACUGUCUACCCAUCAAUGCAAUGGGAAGCUAACGCAGUCAGUUGAGUGUGAUAGUAAUGAAUGAUGCCAGUGUGUCUACUGCAACUGUUGCUGCUGCUGCUGCACCUACAGCACCUUGCAGUAUACCACCUAAACCAGCCCAGACCUGGCAAAAAUGAUUGCACUUGAUUUCCAACUAUUUUCAUUUGUGGAUGUUAAAGUAUUCAGAAAGUUUAUUCAUGCACUGAAUCCUAUGUAUGCAGUUCCAAGCAGGAAAACACUCUCCCAAAAAAUCCUCCCAGGCCUAUAUGACAGAGAACGUGCAUCUUCUUUUGGUUUUGCGUAUUAAUUUAUAUUUUAUUGUGUUGUGAUCUGCAGUGUUUUGUGUUGUUUCACUUUAAAUUUGUUUAAAAGGAAAAGGAUGAAAAUUUAAAUACUUAAAAGUAGAAUUGUAAAUA
This is a long non-coding RNA of Oreochromis aureus, 988 nucleotides long. RefSeq lists it as uncharacterized. The record is from RefSeq and is a predicted model, not a curated record. The transcript is spliced from 3 exons. Lineage: Eukaryota; Metazoa; Chordata; Actinopteri; Cichliformes; Cichlidae.